Non-coding RNA from Paramuricea clavata, 92 nucleotides. The record is from the annotation of a GenBank genome assembly. NCBI's taxonomy places the organism in Eukaryota, Metazoa, Cnidaria, Anthozoa, Malacalcyonacea, Plexauridae.
GUACUCAGGUGAAUAAGAUGCUUGUGUGAUGUUAUUCUGAGUGUACACUCAGAGUAACAUCACAUAAGCAUCUUAUUUACCUGAGUACAUUA